UCCCACAUAAACAAUUCAGUGUGUUUCACACUGGAACAUUGAAUGAUUCCUUCAAUGCUGCCCUCUAAUGACCAAGCAACACACCAUGUGUAAAAGUUGAAUGUUGCACAUAAUGUUUGUUUUCCUUUGUUCGAAUCAGAAUACAAGUGAGGCUCACGGAUUGCAUCUGGUUGAUAUUCACUUUAUUCUUUGUUUUUAGGUUCUUUCUCAUUGGAGGGCUUAAAGCAAGGGGAUUUCAUACUUCUUCCGGUUUGAAGAAUCUCUGUGUAAGCUGUGUGUGGUGAGAAAGCCAUCACAAGAGCGUGAUGGAGGAAGCAGCAGCUGCUGGCGUCUGUGACGGUGACCUAGCAGCCUGUGAAAACAGUCCGGACGCGUGACACCGGAGGAGGGAAGCAUUCGGAAGGAUAUUAUUUAAAGUGACAGCAUGACCUGGUAGAAUUAAUGAUUCAUCCCUGAGAGACAACGAAGUACCUGGCUUUGAAAUUCAAUUAUGAGGAAGACCCAGGAGCUGAGCUGGAGGCAAACACAAGAGCUGACUUAGCUUCAUAGCAUUUCCGGACUCCACAGGGAAGUGGACUCUACGCAAGACCCCCAAGGUCAGCUCCUCGGCACUGCUUCCUAUUGAGCAGGCAGGAAGUGUGCAGGAGUCUCCAGGAAGCCUGUCAGGGGGAGAUUCCUGCAGUUGAAAGGGCAGCACCAUCAAGGAUCCAAGCUGGCCUUAGAAGUUAACAAGAAAUAGAAGUUAUAAUCUCAAAAAUAAAAGGUGGGGUUAGAAGUUUUUAUUUUCUAUUCACAUGCUAUGAAAUAUGCUAUUUUAUGUUAUUGGUUUGCAAUUUCAAUGAAAGUUGACUAGUCCUGAAAAAAGGCUUCGUUUUGGAAAAGCCUGGUUGUAAACAUGGCAGAACUAUUUUACUCCAGAGCAAAAGGCCAGCUCCAAGCAGACAGUGAGGCAGCUGAGGUCAAGGGCACUCCUCUCUGUUCCUAAGCUCCCAGAAUGCCAUCUGUUGGGACAUUCCUCUGUAAUAAAUCAUUGAGAACAAGAGACCCUGGGCUAGUUCGGGGUUAGUAAAGUUGAGUGCAGUUAGGGAAAGAGAAAGAAAGCAGAAUUGUCUGGGUUCUUACGCAAGGAAAGUACAAAGUGUAGUUUAUAAAGGACAUGAAACACUCCUUUAUGCCACAAAUGGUCUCAUUGAACACCACACUGACCAGAUUUCCUCCACAUCUGUGAUUAUACCUACAACCACAGGAUGUCUCUAAUCAGCUUUUUAUUAUGUGCAGGAAGGUGGUACAGGGUUUCCUCUGAGACCUCUCUCUCUUUGGGAGAUGUAUGCCCUUGGUCAUUUCCCAGGCAGAACCUCUGCUCCACAAAUACCGACUAGAAUUCUCUGCCUAGAAAUCCCACCAGUGUCUCCAGCAUGCCAGUUCAGAACCACUCAUCCUGUCUGUCCCAUUUGUUAUUGGCCUCAGAUCCCAGAACCUCCAGUCACAGCUGAGAGUGAUCCUUUAUCUGCUUUCUCCCUCAUCUAGGAAAUUGCCAAACCCUGUCUGCCUCAUUUCUGAUCGUCUCUUAAAUCCAUCCCUUUUCCAAUAUGCCAUCAGGAGGUGCCUCACUCAUGCCUGGGGUGUCUGUUGCACAAUCCUAUGUGAUGGAUGGACGGACAUGACUCUGGUCAGGCUGUGUGUGCCAUGACUACACACCCUCUAGGCACCAUGGUGCCUCAGCCUUGCUCUCCCAGUGUCCAUGCCAAGUGACUCAGACUCCAGGGGUCUUGAGUACAGACAGUCCCCGUUUGAGAACGGACAGGAACAUGUUUCCAGACAUGACAAAAGUCUUUUGGGCCCUGAAUUUAUGCUAACUACCACAUGACCACAGAAUACCAAAUAUUUUCAGUCUAAAUUUCUAUUAAUCAUACUAAUGUCUGUUCUCUAUUUCUUUAUUCAUUUCUCCAAUUCUGUGGCCCAAUUCUUUAUAAAGCCUGUUCCAUUAACUUCUAAGAUCCCACUCCAGUUCAUGACAUCUCAAGUCUCUCUUCCUCUUCGGGUAGCUGCUGGUACUUCUUUAGGAAAGAACAAAUUCUAUGAGAAACAGAAAACUAGAAAGGUGCAAAAACCUUCAAAGCAGAUGGUGUAGGGCAAUAAGAUGAAACAUUGUAACAGAGAAGAAACUCUGGGGACAUCCAGGGACUGAGUGGAUAAAACACAAAGACGGAAAGAAUUCACAAAAUCCCCUGUCUGCCAUAGUCCUUUAGUAGGUAACAUCCCCCAUAAGAGGUACAAGGCAAGACAGGGUUCUUAGCAAAAAUUAUCAGCUUGCUUGCAUUGGGUCUCAUUGUUCUGCAGACCCUAAGAACUUAUUCCAAUCAAGUAUAUAGCAUGUAUACUACUGGGAUCAGGCAAACUGCAUUCAACAACACCUCCUGUGUGCUCUGAGGUCACAUGCCUAGGAGGUCUAAGGUGGAAAUCAUUUGAGCUGACUCUUAAGUAGGCAGCCCAGUUUAGAAAAUUCUUCAGGAAAGGUGAAUACAGGCAGAGUGUGCAUCGGAUUUUAGGCUGGCGAUGCUUUGGGAGGAGCCGUGGAACACCUGCUAUUUCUAUGUCACUGAUCACAUGCCACAGAUACCUGUGUCCUUUUUCCACACACCCCAGAUAACACCUAAAAGCAUGAGGUGGGGCCAGCAUUCCAAGGUCCUCCUAGAGGGUCAAAUGAGAAGGUAUGUCCCCUGUUUGGGUUGUUUGUCAGCUAUUACUCUUCACCCUGAAGAAACAUCUGAAGUUUCCAACAGAAUCUCUAAAAUUCCUAACAACAGUUACAGAGCUGUACACGGUGUUUGAAAUCACUCGGUUCUCUGACAUAGGAAUGGGACCAUUUGGAAUUGCCAGGCGUUACCAGUGCAGAGGAAGGGCAAACUUCCUCGCUGUGUACAAAUGGACGGGUAAGAGGUAGCAUCUCCCACCAUUCAAACCUUAAUUGCUCUGUUAAGUCAAGACGUAUUCAUGUAAACAGGAUGUUUGUAUGUGUCUGUUGUGAGCUUUCCACCCAUGAAUGAAUGACUCACAUGAAUAGAAGAUGUGUGGUUCCAUUUUUCCUCCACUCUUUGGAAGUUCUUUGUGCAUUAGGUGUAUAAUUGGCCAUCGGUACUUUCUCAGGGGGUCAUUUGCCCUCUGGCCUUAUAUGACAUACACAUGCUCUACAGAGUCCUUUUCGAGAUUGGGAUAUACCAACCUCUUCAAUGAUGAAAUCUGGACUUGGGGUUAUUUUUAGAAUUUUUUUCAGGAUAAGAAUGUAUCUGAUUUUGUCAUUUUCCCAAGAGGGCUGACAAGUUAUUUGAAUAUCACUUAUUUGAGAAGCUAUCUUUUCCCAAGGGGGAAUAUAUGUAAUCACCUCUGUAUUAGAAUAAAAUUAAAAAAUUAAAAGAUCGGUAUAAUUGUGUGUGAUGUGUAUAUGUGCGUAUUGUGUGUGAGUGUGCUUACAAUAGCACAUGUGUAUGGUGAGAGGACCACUUUGUGGAGUUGGAACUCUCCACUGUAUGUAGGCUGUAGGGUUUAGACUCAGAUCAUGAGGCUGGAAUUGUAUGGAAGCUGUGUGUGGAUUCCGAGUAUCAAAGGCAGGGCCAUGGGGCUUACAUCACAUGACAGCCAGCACCUUGACCUUGGAGCUGGCUCGCAAGCCCCAAUCUAAAUGUUUAACAUGUACAGAGUUCUAAUUCCUUGAUUCCACUGAUUCUUAAAUGCAUCCAUGGUUCUUACAGAAGAUUGAUUUAUUUUAUUGCUUCUUAUUUCUUUCCUUCCCAGUGAAUUUCAGCAUCCUGUUACCUGACUUUAUGGAGAGGAAGAAAGACAGAGAAUGCAUACGUGUACAUGUUUGAGGGUGUGUUUGUAUGCAUUUGUGUGUUUGAGGGUGUGUUUGUAUGCAUUUGUGUGUUUGCAUGUUUGUAUAUGAGUAUUUGCACACAUGUGUCUUAACUACCAGUACACUAAAUUCAGAUAUGAACCUGGAGGAAGCUGUAUGUUGAUAACUGAAACAUUUCCAUCCCCUUAAGUCUUCCUGGGGCAUAGCAAUAGGUUGCGAUAGUUUUUAAGCCAUUAUUUUUGAGUUUAUUCUCAUGCAUUUUACCUUGUAACUCCACAGCUAUUGGGGCCAUUCUCAUUGGUUAUGCAUGCUGAUAGGCUAUUUGUGACUAUAAAGGGCUAUUGAUUUGGGCAUGUUAACUUUAUAUUCUGGUAAUUGAUUACCUUUUUUCAAUUAGAUGAGUUUUAUCAUUAAUUCUUUGGAGAGAGUUCUUGGUAUUUUAUUAUGUCAGCUGAGAAAAUUAUAUUGUUUUGCAGCCCUGUUGCCUUUAAUUCUUUACUCUAAUCCAAUAACAUUGGCCAAUACUUCUAGAACAAUAUUAAAUGGUGGUAAGUCAGUAGGGAUCUUUAUUUCUCACCUUCAAAGGAAUGGCUGUAGUGCAUCCCAGCUGGGACUGAUUCUGAAAUUAAAAUUAGGGUGCAAUAGCUAAGAUUUUUCUUUUUUCUCUGUCUUCAUCCCCACUUUUUUUUUAAUUAUUAUUUUGGAAACAGCAUCUUGUGGUGUAUCCCAGUCUGGCAUGACAAUCAUUAUGCCUCAGACUCCUCAGUUUUUGGAUUGUCAGUGUUCAUCACUAUGCUUCCCUUUAUAUACAUACAUACAUUCAUACAUAUAUAUACAUAUAUAUGUAUAUAUAUACAUACAUACAUAUAUAUACAUAUGUAUGUAUAUAUAUACAUACAUAUAUAUUAGAGAUUUAUAUUGCCAGUGCUAUUUUUUCAAGAUAUUUUAUGAAGAAUGGAAUGGAUUUUGUUGAUAACAAUUUUCUACAUUUUUAGAAACAGUUAUCUAAUUUCUCUCCUUACAUCUAAUUGUACCAUAAAAGAUAUUAGUAAGCAUUCCUGGGUAAUCCUAGCACUUGAGAGGCAGAGGCAGGGGAAUUAUGCCAAGUUGAUGAACAAUCUGAUCUUUACAGUGAGAACCUGUCUCAAAAAGCAUUUUUAAAAAUUCUUUUCUAAUAUGGAACUUGAGCCACAAAUUGCCACAGUGAAUGAUUUUGGAAUUUCCCAUCACCAUUAACAAAUGAGCUUGAUCCAUUGUCCCUUGAGGGUUUCUUCCAUUGUCUAUGAUCCAGGCAUGAAAACAAUGUGGACAUGUUCUUCACAUCUGUUUCCUGAAACUUACACAUGUUUUAAUGUGCUCAGCAUCUCCCUCGGACACUGUCUGGAUCCUAUAAGAAGCAUCACUUGGGACACAUUUCUAUUUCUCUUGUGAAACUGUUUACACCUCUUAUAACUAUUAGCAGCCAUUCUAGUAAACUGAGUUGUGCUAAGACAGACCACUUCACCGGGCUUCUCGAGGUUAUCGGCUAUGUUGGUGCUCAUCUAGGAUUUCUUCUGUUCUCUGUAGACUCAGGCACUCCUUUAUCUUCUGUUUUGUAAAAAUUUGUCCACAUUUUCCAUGUUUAAAUCAAUAUUUUUGUUUUUUCAAGACAGGGUUUCUCUAUGUAACAGCUCUGGCUGUUCUGGAACUCGCCCUGUAGUCCAGGCUGCCCUUGAACUCACAGAGAUCCACUUGCCUUUGCCUUCUAAGUGCUGGGAUUAAAGGCAUGUGACACCAUGGCCCAGCAAUGAAGCGUUUUUUAUAUUCACAGUUUAGGAACCAUUUCUACUUAUGAACACAAUCCAGCGCCAUUGCUACCUUUUUAUUAUGUCAUGUGCUCCUAUUUUCCCUGAGUAUCAUCAACUGUUCUUCAAUGCUGUGCUUCUCUGUCUUGACACUGUGCUUUCUUUUAUUGGAUUGUGGAAGGCUAGGAUUCAGUCUCGUGCUGUGCAGCUCAGGCUGGCCUCAGACUCUCUCUCCUCUUGUCUCACCCCCACCCCACUGUCUGUGGAAUCACAGUGUGUGACACAUCACACAGCUUCUACUUUAAACUUUACCUUUUUCUUCUAAGCGCCUUCAUUCCUACCUUCAGAUGCUUCUUUUAAUCUUUUAAGGUUUAAUGGUUAGCCACAGUUUAUUUCUGUUUCCCAAAGUUGUUUUUUUUUUUAACUAUUUUUACUAAUAUGUAAGUGUGUUCCUCCAUGUGGGUUUGUGCACAGGAGUUUUAGGUGCCUACUAAGGACAGAGGUAUUAGAGCCCCCCUGGAGCUGGAGUUCCAGGUGGUUGUGUGCUGUUAAUUGUUUUUGCUCUUUUGGAGGACCUACCACCCAGCUCCCAAAUAAAUGACAUGUGGAGGUUCAUUCUUAAUUAUGAAUUCCCAGCCUUAGCUUGGCUUGUUUUUUCUAGCCAUCUUUUCUAACUUAAAUUAUCCCAUCUACCUUUUGCCUCUAGGCUUUUUCCUUUUCUUCUGUAUAUCUUGCUUUCACUCUUACUCUAUGGCUGGCUGGGUGGCUGGGUGGCCCCUAGCAUCCUCCUCUCCUUGUUCUCUUGUUUCUUCUUCCUUUUUUCCUCCCAGAUUUCUCCUUCUUUUUAUUCUCUCUGCCUGCCAGCCCCUCCCAUCCUUUCUCCUGCCUUGCUAUUGGCUGUUCAGUUCUUUAUUAGACCAUCAGGUGUUUUAGACAGGCAAAGUAACACAGCUUCACAGAGUCAAACAAAUGCAGCAUAAAAGUAUGCAAAACAUCUUUGCAUCAUUAAAGCCAAUGUUCCACAGCAUAAAUGAAUGUACCACAUCUUAAAUUAAUAUUCUACAGCAGUUGUGAGUUGACUAAUGGAAGUGCUGGGAAUAAACCUUGGGUCCUCUGGAAGCGGAGUAGACGCUCUGAACCUCUGAGACCUCCGAGACCUCCCAGCUUCUUUUUGUUCUUUGGUUUAUCAGUUUCUGCACGCUGAUUUCUGUAUCCUGCUUUCUCAAACUGAUUCCACGGGCAUAGGAUCUGUGGGUUGUUUGCUUUGUUUUUUAACUAUGGUUGCUCACAUGGGCCAUGCUUAAAGUGUGCCUUCCCAUCCACCUGCUCUCUUCUGCGUGGUUUUCAUAGUGGGUGGCCAGGGCAGGGAGAGACGGGGUGGUGUGUGCUCUACCUCCAUCUCUAUUCCUCCUGUUUCUUUCUCUCUCCUCACAGACAUGACCCUGGUGAGCACCACCUUCCCAUAUCCACAUUAUCUGCAAUGCUCUCCAUGAGAAAGUAAACAUGUCUCAGACAGAGUAACGUCUCACUUCCUUCCAGCAGUGUUCACAUCCCAGUCCCUUCCCUGAGGCCAGUGUUCCAAAGAGCAAGACAGAGGAGCCUCAGGCAAGAUGGUCUUAUCCAUGCCAUCCUCCUUGUCUUCCUGAGCCCUCCCAGUAGACCAUUCACCAAACCUAUCAGCUUCAAGGGUUGGCAAGAGGACUGGUGAAACUGGGUUUCUUUCUCUUCUUGCAUGGCAUUCUGGAGGUUGUGCCAUCCUGUGUCUCCCAGGAAGCUGAAUGUAUGGUUCAUGAGCGAAUACCAAAAGGUGAAGCUGAAUAGACAUCAUGGACUCUGUGCCUUCUCCAUCCAGGAGAUUCCUGUCUUCUCCCUAACCUGAUUGUCUUUCUUCUUCUGUGGACCAGAAUCUAAGCCCCCGAGGACCUGAGCUCAGACUUUAAUGAAGGCAGAGAUAAAACUCUGCUGAGAGGGGCGGUGUGGCAGCAUGAGGACACAGCCAUAUUCAAAGGGGCAGGGAAUAGACAACUCCGGGGUUGCCAUAAAAAUUAACUGAAGCAAUGUGUGUAACAAUAAACCCCUGCCACGCUGUGCGUUCUCUAAAAUGUCACCACUCUAUUCAGCUAAUAGAGAACAUCUUUCUGGGCUUCCCUGGGGACAUACUUGAUCCAACUUGCUGGUCCUCUCAGGAGAUGUUCUCAGAACUUAACAUGGCAGGGAGCUAACACCUACUCUGAGUUUGCCCUUAGAUGAGAACCAUCCUUUCAGGGCUGAAUUGGCUAUUCUGGGGCAGGAAGCCACUAAACAAUAAACAAGCAUUUUCCUACAGACAUGGAAAAGGGAAGGGAACUAACAGUGCGGGCACUCUAAGGCUGGACAUGCCGUCUGUUUUUGCUGCCGUUCUUUCUGUUAAACAGGAGACAGCAGACGCACCCUUCCCAAUGCAGAAGAUGUCCUAAGAGCUCCAGCUGAAAUUCUGCAACAGAAAAUCCAUUUCACAAUGCUCCUACUCUAGAAGUGUUUGUUACCGCACACAGAAGACAUCGAGGGAGAACGCAGUCAUCAGAGAGUGAAGUGCAGAGGCAGGCCUAAGCAAGCUUGCUACAGGACGUAGAUUCCCCAUCCUCUGCGACUCUGGAUCUACAGGAAGGAGGCGCCAGCUCCCUUUGCCCGGGGGACACAGAGAAGACCCCACGGAUAAGCUAUAGAUAAGUGGCAGGGGGCUUCCGUGUGAAUGGACAGAGGAGAAGGUUGGUCUCCUGUUUGCUGGCUUCCUCCACCCUUCAGUGAAAGCCUCCAGGAAAGAGAAAAAGCUUGGGGAAAGAGCGGAGCCCUGUUCCAUGCCCUGCGUGGUGAGGCAAGGCUGGGGUGCAGCCGGAAAUGGUGAAAUCAGAGUCCAGGAUGAGGAUGACUUCUCGCCAUGGCGUUUCCUGAUGGGCUGAGGCUUUGAAGUGCACAUGCAUGCUCAUGGAGACCUGAAGAGGACAUCGUAGGUGCACAUGCAUGCUCAUAGAGAUUUGAAGAGGACAUUAGGUCUCCUAGAAUCGGAAUCACAGUCUGCUGUGAACCUCCUGCUAUGGGUCCUGGGAGCUGAACUCUGGAAGCACUCUUAGCACUCAGCCAUCUCCGCAGCCUUCCUUCAGGUUCUUACCUCUGAGUUUGUCAUUAAACAUGUCCUUUAUCAUAGCAUCAGACCUUAAGUAUAUCACUGUGUUUCUGCAUAGAGGUCUUAAUUACAUUUCUCCAAUCAGGACAUCUCAUCUGAUCUCUCUAGUGAAAAGAGAAAAUUCCUAAGCCUUCACUGAAUAUACAUGUCCCAGGAUAUACAGAAGCAUGGACAUGCCCCUGGGGCAUGGCCACUUGGGACCCUUAAGACUUGCGAUGCACAUACACUCUUCUUUGCUCCCUCGUGGUUUUUGGAUGCUGGGACAGACCAGGCAGAUUUCAGGUGGAAGGACAGUGUGGGACUGUGCCUCACCUUUCCAAGAUCCUGCAACAAAUUCCUCUAUUCUGUCUUGUGAGAUUUCUUUCCCAAAUAAAUUCCUUUGCCGUUAAAGUGGACUCCAUGGAUUUCUCCCACUAGGUGCCAGUUACAAUUCACCUUGCAUCUGGUAUCAAUUCCUGAACUAUUAAUUCUGGUGAUAUAUGAUGGGACAGAAGACCUGAGCUUUAAUAGAAACCCAUAGAUGUGGGGAGAAGUAUUCACGAAAGGAAAGGUGGCAACUUCCAUCAGAAGAGAGACAAAGAGGUCCCUCAGAAACACCACCAUGUAUCUGUUUGUUUCAAUUUACUGAGUGGUCUUACAAGCCACUUAAAUUCUUACAUUGAUGGAAUGAGUAGGAACAUGGACAAAUAUGGCAUUUUAAAUGUGUUCCAGGAUAUGUAGAAGCACAUUUCAUUUUCCCUGCAGAAUGAACUCUGACACAGACUUAGCAAAAUGUACUGCAGAAAGAUAUGUAUUCACUUGACAAACUUCAUGAGUUGUCAAGAUGGAAAUCUUGUCUAGAACCCUGGCUUGUUGGUACUGUGUCUCAGCCAACACAAAAGCUUCGGCCAUGUCCUAGGUAGUCUAGCCCAGUGUAUUCUGCAUAAUGUAAGAGUCAUUUCUGCUUCUUGAUGUUACACUCGGCCACUGUCAAUUCUUUCCGAGUGGGAAGUUCAUUGGUUUAUAACAAUCCAUUGAGGGAUAACUAUAAUUAUUGAUGACAACCUCAUUCUGUUGUAUCUACAUGUGCUUUCUUGUUACCACUGUCUGUCGUCCCUCAGUCUGUAAAAUAAAUCUGCUCCAUCCUCCUCAUGGUGACAUGCCGAGCCUGGGAAAGCAUUACCCUGUGCCCUUGAAACUUUCAGUGACUACUCUACAUAUAGCAAAUGCGUCAUAGUUAAAUUCUAAGUAAAAGAUUGGUCGUGGCAAACAUCUCUAGUGCCGGUACUGUUUCACACAUCACAUCAACCUAAAGAAAGUAAUUACCUUUCUUUGGGCCAACACAACUUGAUAAAUUGUAAAAGCUUUCCAGGGAAGUGUUGCCAUCACCUGGUUGUGGUGAUAAAUCAAGUAGGCAAUCUCAUCUAAGUGACUUCAUUACUGGGUGUGCACUGAGGAAAUGACUUUCCACAUUAGCGUCGCUUAUCUAGAAACUGAAUGGAUAUUAUAACACAGAAAACAUGAUUUUAAAGUAAUAUUGCUUCCAUUGAUAUAUAAUUGGCAUUUUAAAAACUAAUUUGGAAAACAUAUUUGGAUUUGUUUUUCCUUCAAUGUACACUUGUUACCUUGCCUCUGCGAUGAUGAAGUUUUAAGAAGGCCUCGUGUUUGGCACAUGAAGGCACAUGGGAAGUCCUGCCUGGAUAUGGGGGAUUGUUCUGCCUAUACUUAUUCACUUCUAGCUGCUCACAGCCCCUCACCCUAGACCACCCUGCUUCUCUUGCUUCCCAUGUUCCUGCACAAUUCCAAGGGUCUAUCCUGCAUGCCUACUUGCUGAAUUUUGAACAGAACUCAGAAUCAUAGCUAUGUCUCAUGGGGCAUCUGGAGUUGAGAUGCCCAGCUUUCUGCAUCACAUCAGAGAGUACGUGCUAUUAACAUGACUUGCCUCUGCCUUCAUCCCUUGGUGAAGGCAGUACCCAGGGGGUUUCUCCACUGUGUCAUAACUUUUUCCUUUUCAUGGUCUAUUCUUUGGAGGCGAGCUACUAUGUGCCACUCACCUCAGAAGAGGAGAAAUGAAACCCAAAAAUCUCAGAGGAGGAAAUAUAUAUAUAUCGUUUAUAGCUCUUCAAUAAAGAUUAUUAGUCCCUUCUCA
Molecule: long non-coding RNA, 10925 nt
Organism: Peromyscus californicus insignis
Lineage: Eukaryota; Metazoa; Chordata; Mammalia; Rodentia; Cricetidae
Exons: 8
Source: RefSeq, a predicted model, not a curated record